UUUGUUUGCGCAGGAUAGGUGGGAGGCGCUGAAAAUUUUCUUGCGGGAAGAUUGGAGCCGUUGGUGAGAUACCACUCUAACAAUGCUAGGAUUCUAACCCUACACCGUUAUCCGGUUAGGGGACAGUUUCAGGUGGUCAGUUUGACUGGGGCGGUCGCCUCCCAAAAGGUAACGGAGGCGUGCAAAGGUUUCCUCAGGCUGGUCGGAAAUCAGUCGUAGAGUGUAAAGGCAUAAGGAAGCUUGAUUGUGAGACCUACAAGUCGAACAAAGACGAAAGUCGGCCUUAGUGAUCCGACGGUUCCGAGUGGAAGGGCCGUCGCUCAACGGAUAAAAGUUACUCUAGGGAUAACAGGCUGA
Molecule: ribosomal RNA, 357 nt
Filed under: uncultured eukaryote
Lineage: Eukaryota
Description: LSU rRNA
Rfam family: Bacterial large subunit ribosomal RNA
Source: RNAcentral